This 684-nucleotide ribosomal RNA is filed under the name uncultured bacterium. RNAcentral describes it as "bacterial SSU rRNA". It matches the Rfam family "Bacterial small subunit ribosomal RNA", at positions 66 to 749 of the family's 1533-position model. The record is from RNAcentral.
ACGAGAAUCUAUGGAUCGAGGAUUCGUCCAAGUGAAGUAGAGGACAGUGGCGGACGGGUGAGUAACACGUGAGGAACCUGCCUUUCAGAGGGGGACAACAGUUGGAAACGACUGCUAAUACCGCAUGACACAUAGAGAUCGCAUGGUUUUUAUGUCAAAGAUUUAUCGCUGAAAGAUGGCCUCGCGUCUGAUUAGCUAGUUGGUGAGGUAUCGGCCCACCAAGGCGACGAUCAGUAGCCGGACUGAGAGGUUGACCGGCCACAUUGGGACUGAGAUACGGCCCAGACUCCUACGGGAGGCAGCAGUGGGGAAUAUUGGGCAAUGGGCGCAAGCCUGACCCAGCAACGCCGCGUGAAGGAAGAAGGCUUUCGGGUUGUAAACUUCUUUUGUCGGGGACGAGUAGAAGACGGUACCUGGCGAAUAAGCCACGGCUAACUACGUGCCAGCAGCCGCGGUAAUACGUAGGUGGCAAGCGUUGUCCGGAUUUACUGGGUGUAAAGGGCGUGUAGCCGGGAAGGCAAGUCAGAUGUGAAAUCCACGGGCUUAACUCGUGAACUGCAUUUGAAACUGUUUUUCUUGAGCAUCGGAGAGGCAAUCGGAAUUCCUAGUGUAGCGGUGAAAUGCGUAGAUAUUAGGAGGAACACCAGUGGCGAAGGCGGAUUGCUGGACGACAACUGACGGUGA